UGGGGAAUCUUGCACAAUGGGGGCAACCCUGAUGCAGCGACGCCGCGUGAGCGAUGAAGCCCUUCGGGGCGUAAAGCUCUUUCGACCGGAACGAUAAUGACGGUACCGGGAGAAGAAGCUGCGGCUAACUACGUGCCAGCAGCCGCGGUAAUACGUAGGGUGCAAGCGUUGUCCGGAAUUAUUGGGCGUAAAGAGCUCGUAGGCGGUUUGUCGCGUCUGCUGUGAAAACCCGAGGCUCAACCUCGGGCCUGCAGUGGGUACGGGCAAACUAGAGUGCGGUAGGGGAGAUUGGAAUUCCUGGUGUAGCGGUGGAAUGCGCAGAUAUCAGGAGGAACACCGAUGGCGAAGGCAGAUCUCCGGGCCGUAACUGACGCUGAGGAGCGAAAGCAUGGGGAGCGAACA
Molecule: ribosomal RNA, 402 nt
Filed under: uncultured bacterium
Lineage: Bacteria
Description: bacterial SSU rRNA
Rfam family: Bacterial small subunit ribosomal RNA
Source: RNAcentral